CCUACGGGAGGCAGCAGUGAGGAAUAUUGGUCAAUGGGCGAGAGCCUGAACCAGCCAAGUCGCGUGAGGGAAGACGGUCCUAUGGAUUGUAAACCUCUUUUGCCGGGGAGCAAAACGCGGUACGCGUACCGCAUCGAGAGUACCCGGAGAAAAAGCAUCGGCUAACUCCGUGCCAGCAGCCGCGGUAAUACGGAGGAUGCGAGCGUUAUCCGGAUUUAUUGGGUUUAAAGGGUUCGCAGGCGGCGAGUUAAGUCAGCGGUAAAAUUUCGGGGCUCAACCCCGGCGAGCCGUUGAAACUGGCGUGCUAGAGUGGGCGAGAAGUAUGCGGAAUGCGUGGUGUAGCGGUGAAAUGCAUAGAUAUCACGCAGAACUCCGAUUGCGAAGGCAGCAUACCGGCGCCCAACUGACGCUCAGGCACGAAAGCGUGGGUAUCGAACAGGAUUAGAUACCCGUGUAGUC
This 459-nucleotide ribosomal RNA is filed under the name uncultured bacterium. RNAcentral describes it as "partial 16S ribosomal RNA". It matches the Rfam family "Bacterial small subunit ribosomal RNA", at positions 338 to 795 of the family's 1533-position model. The record is from RNAcentral.